AUGAAGACAAGUGUGAAGUCUCUGCUUCAGGGAUCCAUUUUUUGGCAUUCUGGCAAAGAGCUCUGUAAUGGCUUUGUCUUCAGCAAGCACACAGAAGCCUUGGCGGUCUCUGCAGCACUAAUCUAUGAGCCGAGUCUCAGCUACAGGAAGACAGAAGUUGAAACUAGAGAAGAAGAAUUUUUGCUCUCGAUCCUAGGCUGUCCCCAAUAAGCCCACUUAUAACUGGAUCCCACUUGUCAGGUCUGGGCAGUCAGGAAACAAACAAGUGGCCUCCAACUACACCCCCUACCAUUGAGCUUCAUAAAAAUCUUGUCUCCCUCACCACCUAUACUUACCACUCAAUCCUCACCUUAGGGGGAGACACCCCAUGUACACAAAUAAAUAAAGCAUGCUUUGAUUAAUUUGGUCAUGAAGAUUUGGGUCAGUGAUCUUUCUCCUCCAAUCUCUGGGAUUAACUUGUACUGUUUAUAAGGUAAUUAAAAAUGC
Long non-coding RNA from Microtus oregoni (creeping vole), 486 nucleotides. RefSeq lists it as uncharacterized. The transcript has 3 exons. NCBI's taxonomy places the organism in Eukaryota, Metazoa, Chordata, Mammalia, Rodentia, Cricetidae. The record is from RefSeq and is a predicted model, not a curated record.